This 600-nucleotide ribosomal RNA is filed under the name uncultured Alphaproteobacteria bacterium. Its description in RNAcentral is "bacterial SSU rRNA". It matches the Rfam family "Bacterial small subunit ribosomal RNA", at positions 528 to 1126 of the family's 1533-position model. Lineage: Bacteria; Pseudomonadati; Pseudomonadota; Alphaproteobacteria. The record is from RNAcentral.
GAAGGGACCUCCGUAGUUCGGAAUUACUGGGCUUAAAGAGCUCGUAGGUGGUUAAAAAAGUUGAUGGUGAAAUCCCAAGGCUCAACCUUGGAACUGCCAUCAAAACUUUUUAGCUAGAGUGUGAUAGAGGUAAGUGGAAUUUCUAGUGUAGAGGUGAAAUUCGUAGAUAUUAGAAAGAACACCAAAUGCGAAGGCAACUUACUGGGUCACUACUGACACUGAGGAGCGAAAGCAUGGGUAGCGAAGAGGAUUAGAUACCCUCGUAGUCCAUGCCGUAAACGAUGUGUGCUAGACGUUGGAAAUAUAUUUUCAGUGUCGCAGCGAAAGCAUUAAGCACACCGCCUGGGGAGUACGACCGCAAGGUUAAAACUCAAAUGAAUUGACGGGGACCCGCACAAGCAGUGGAGCAUGUGGUUUAAUUCGAAGAUACGCGCAGAACCUUACCAACACUUGACAUGUUCGUCGCGAGACUAAGAGAUUAGUCUUUUCAGUUUGGCUGGACGAAACACAGGUGCUGCAUGGCUGUCGUCAGCUCGUGUCGUGAGAUGUUGGGUUAAGUCCCGCAACGAGCGCAACCCUUACUUUUAGUUGCCACCAUUA